AACCUUCACUGGGGGUGCCGAUGCGGCUGAGAGAAGCGAUUCGCUUUAACCCUUACUACCUGAUCCGGAUAAUGCCGGCGAAGGGAAGUGGUAUGCAAUUGCU
Molecule: non-coding RNA, 103 nt
Filed under: Bacillus sp. (in: firmicutes)
Lineage: Bacteria; Bacillati; Bacillota; Bacilli; Caryophanales; Bacillaceae
Also listed under: 1 other name
Description: Bacillus sp. TPP sequence
Rfam family: TPP riboswitch aptamer (THI element)
About the family: Vitamin B(1) in its active form thiamin pyrophosphate (TPP) is an essential coenzyme that is synthesised by coupling of pyrimidine and thiazole moieties in bacteria. The previously detected thiamin-regulatory element, thi box was extended, resulting in a new, highly conserved RNA secondary structure, the THI element, which is widely distributed in eubacteria and also occurs in some archaea.
Source: RNAcentral